UUCGGCCAUAUCACGUCGAAACACCGGUUCUCGUUUGAUCACAAAAGGUAAGCAACAUUAAACUUAGUAUGUAGAUGGGUGACCGCUUGGCAAUACUAGGUGCCGUAAG
Molecule: non-coding RNA, 109 nt
Organism: Acanthosepion pharaonis
Lineage: Eukaryota; Metazoa; Mollusca; Cephalopoda; Sepiida; Sepiidae
Source: the annotation of a GenBank genome assembly